Molecule: transfer RNA, 68 nt
Filed under: Acetes chinensis (northern mauxia shrimp)
Lineage: Eukaryota; Metazoa; Arthropoda; Malacostraca; Decapoda; Sergestidae
Description: tRNA-Thr
Rfam family: tRNA
About the family: Transfer RNA (tRNA) molecules are approximately 80 nucleotides in length.
Source: RNAcentral
GUUUUAAUAGUUUAAAUAAAACACUGGUCUUGUAAAUCAGAAAUGAAAUUAUAAUUUUUCUUAAAACA